AACGCACGAGACCUGCGGACCUGCGGAGGGAUCAUUAUAGAAUUACCAAUAACAGAAAAGAUUGGGGAUGGUAGUUUGGGGGGGAGAAAGACUUUUUUCCCUUCCCUUCUGUCGCUCUGAUCUUUUCUGAACAAACAAACAAACAUGACUAGGAAAUCAUCUGGCAUCUGGAAAUUUUGACAACAAGAGAAGUUCUUGGCUGAUAAGUAGCAUUGAUUUCAAAUCAAAUGUGAAUUUCCA
Molecule: unclassified non-coding RNA, 240 nt
Filed under: soil metagenome
Description: partial contains 5.8S ribosomal RNA, internal transcribed spacer 2, and large subunit ribosomal RNA
Source: RNAcentral